AUGAAGUAUCAGACUAUCAGUGCCCGGAUCCCCCCGAAAGUUAAGAUUUUUCUCUGGCAAGCUAUUAGGGGGCGUCUGGCAGCGGCCAACCAAAUUCGCAAAAGGAAUGGCCCGGGAUCGGAGUUUUGCACCCUUUGUGGUGCCUUGGAGGAUACAAAUCACAUUAUCUUCAAUUGUGUUCUGACUAAGUUGAUCUGGAGCUGCGUUACAGAGUGGCUCCAGGUCUCCUGGGACCCCUCAUCGUUCCUUGAACUCCGGGCCCUCGCUAAUUCCCUGAUAGGCGCUACCAAACGGGGUUUUUUGGGUUGGUCUGGGAGCGGUUUGCUGGUCCCUUUGGAUGACUAG
RNAcentral lists this ribosomal RNA (345 nucleotides) under Triticum aestivum (bread wheat). RNAcentral describes it as "partial small subunit ribosomal RNA". The record is from RNAcentral. Lineage: Eukaryota; Viridiplantae; Streptophyta; Magnoliopsida; Poales; Poaceae.